GAUGAACGCUGGCGGCGUGCCUAAUACAUGCAAGUCGAGCGAACGGACGAGAAGCUUGCUUCUCUGAUGUUAGCGGCGGACGGGUGAGUAACACGUGGAUAACCUACCUAUAAGACUGGGAUAACUUCGGGAAACCGGAGCUAAUACCGGAUAAUAUUUUGAACCGCAUGGUUCAAAAGUGAAAGACGGCCUUGCUGUCACUUAUAGAUGGAUCCGCGCUGCAUUAGCUAGUUGGUAAGGUAACGGCUUACCAAGGCAACGAUGCAUAGCCGACCUGAGAGGGUGAUCGGCCACACUGGAACUGAGACACGGUCCAGACUCCUACGGGAGGCAGCAGUGGGGAAUCUGCCGCAAUGGGCGAAAGCCUGACGGAGCAACGCCGCGUGAGUGAUGAAGGUCUUCGGAUCGUAAAACUCUGUUAUUAGGGAAGAACAUAUGUGUAAGUAACUGUGCACAUCUUGACGGUACCUAAUCAGAAAGCCACGGCUAACUACGUG
RNAcentral lists this ribosomal RNA (497 nucleotides) under uncultured bacterium. Its description in RNAcentral is "partial 16S ribosomal RNA". It matches the Rfam family "Bacterial small subunit ribosomal RNA", at positions 28 to 507 of the family's 1533-position model. The record is from RNAcentral.